Molecule: long non-coding RNA, 443 nt
Filed under: Cricetulus griseus (Chinese hamster)
Lineage: Eukaryota; Metazoa; Chordata; Mammalia; Rodentia; Cricetidae
Description: lncRNA (ENSCGRG00015039356.1)
Source: RNAcentral
GGUCGUGACCCCCUUUGGCAAAUCUCUUCUCUCCAAAAAAUAUAUGUUUAGAGUACAAUUCAUAAAUUAGCAAAAUUACAGUUGUAAUUUUUAUGGUUGAGGAGCUCAUCAUAGUGUGAGGAACUAUAGGGUCACAGCAUUAGGAAGGUUGAGAACCACUGCAAACUAACCUGAGGUUGAAGACCUACAGAAAACCGAAUCCAGCACGAGGAGGAUGCAAGGCUCCCCGCAGACAGCUUUCUGGGCCCCUUCAGACACGGACUGAUACCAAGCUUAUCGUUGGUUUCUCAGCAAAGGCAGAUAAGAUGGCAGCUAAUGAGAUUUGCUCCUGGAAAACUCACCAGAGCCGUAAUUCAUCGGCUGCUUUUGAGUCACUACAGCUGAAGCAGGGAGGAGCUAUAAGAAAUCAUUUUGUCACCUGCUUUAGACAGCUGAAAACCCAC